Molecule: ribosomal RNA, 468 nt
Filed under: uncultured bacterium
Lineage: Bacteria
Description: partial 16S ribosomal RNA
Rfam family: Bacterial small subunit ribosomal RNA
Source: RNAcentral
GACGAACGCUGGCGGCGUGCUUAACACAUGCAAGUCGAACGGAAAGGCCCUGCUCUUGUGGGGUGCUCGAGUGGCGAACGGGUGAGUAACACGUGAGUAACCUGCCCUUGACUUUGGGAUAACUUCAGGAAACUGGGGCUAAUACCGGAUAGGAGCUCCUGCAGCAUGGGGUGGGUUGGAAAGUGUCGGCUGUUGGGGAUGGACUCGCGGCUUAUCAGCUGGUUGGUGGGGUAGUGGCUUACCAAGGAUUCGACGGGUAGCCGGCAUGAGAGGGUGAACGGCCACAUUGGGACUAAGAUACGGAACAGAAUGCUACGGGAGGCAGUAGUGGGGAAUAUUGCACAAUGGGCGGAAGCCUGAUGCAGCAACGCCGCGUGCGGGAUGACGGCCUUCGGGUUGUAAACCGCUUUCGCCUGUGACGAAGCGUGAGUGACGGUAAUGGGUAAAGAAGCACCGGCUAACUACGUG